This 240-nucleotide unclassified non-coding RNA is filed under the name soil metagenome. RNAcentral describes it as "partial contains 5.8S ribosomal RNA, internal transcribed spacer 2, and large subunit ribosomal RNA". The record is from RNAcentral.
AACCUUAUGGACCUGCGGGCGUAUACCUGCGGAGGGAUCAUUACUGAGUCACGUGCUCAAACAACCCUUCUGUGGACCUGAAAUAAAACCGUUGCCUCGGCGGGCGGUCCCCCCCAAACCAACCCCACGUGGUGGGUUAGGGGAGACCAGACAGUCCGGUACGCUUAAGGCGUCCGGCGCCAGCCGCUGGCCCCAAACAAUUAAACUCUAGUAAUCUUUACCUUCUGAGUUUCAAUAUUU